UGGCUCAGUUGGUAGAGCAUGAAGUUUGCAACGCCAGGGUUGUGGGUUCAAUUCCCAC
RNAcentral lists this transfer RNA (58 nucleotides) under Salmo salar (Atlantic salmon). It matches the Rfam family "tRNA", at positions 8 to 63 of the family's 71-position model. From Rfam's summary of the family: Transfer RNA (tRNA) molecules are approximately 80 nucleotides in length. Their secondary structure includes four short double-helical elements and three loops (D, anti-codon, and T loops). The record is from Rfam by way of RNAcentral. Lineage: Eukaryota; Metazoa; Chordata; Actinopteri; Salmoniformes; Salmonidae.